Long non-coding RNA from Passer domesticus (house sparrow), 5472 nucleotides. RefSeq lists it as uncharacterized. The transcript is spliced from 3 exons. NCBI's taxonomy places the organism in Eukaryota, Metazoa, Chordata, Aves, Passeriformes, Passeridae. The record is from RefSeq and is a predicted model, not a curated record.
ACCAAAACAACCAAGUUUUGUUAUUUUUAUUACCCCAAGCUCCCCAGCCAUGUUCAGAGGCGCUCAGGCAAUCCCAGCAGAAUCACCAGGAGGGGCUGGGUGCUGUUGGACCUUGUCUCACCGUGGAUAUUUUCCAUCACCAGCUCUCUCUGGCUGCACCAUCAGUCCUGGCUGAUCCCUGGGGCAGGGCUGGUCCCACGGUGGGGUUUGGCCAUUGCUGUGCCCUUCUCCAGCUGCCUGUCAGCAAUUAAUGAGCCCCCAGGGGAUUUCCUGAUUUUCAAAUUGUUUUCUUAGCACUUAAAUAGGAGUAGUUGUGAGGUGGGAGCAGGGUGGGCACAGGAGUGAGGAAUUCUCCUGGAUUAUUGUAAAUGGGAUCUUCACCUGGGUGCAGGGGAAAGAGGAAUUUCCCUUCCUUUGCAAGCAUGGAAUUUUCAGUCAAAAGCUGGAAUCAGGCCUGUUCACCCAUCUGUAAUCCCUUCAAAUUCCAUUAAUUGAAAAUGCUGCACCAGUAGAGAGGGGAAAAAAAGAAAAGAAAAAUAAAUACAAAAAAAAAAUUGUUAUAAGGGAAAAAGCCAAAGUUGUUUGUCAAAGUGAUGCAGCAGAAGAAGUCUGACUCUCCAGGAGUGCAGGAGGGACCAAAGCUGAAGCUCAGAGGUCUCCAGGCUGUUCCUGAGUUUCACCUUGCACAGACCCCUGCUCCUCCCACACUGGAGCUUCCACAGGCAGGAACUGCAGCUGGCUCCCACAAGGAACCCUUGGAAUAUCCAAAUCCUUGGAAUGUUUCAGCUGCAGAAAUUCCAGCAGAGUCCUGGUUUCCAUCUGAGAGUGUGGGGAGCAAAGCUCAACUCCUGCUUUUAUGUCCAGGUUCAUUUUUUAUCUCAGGUUUCAGUUUUCUGUUCUGCUCACAGCCCCAGGAAAGGGAAAAUCAGGUGAGCUUUUGUUCCAUGUUCUGUACCAGAAAUUCCAGCCCUGGUUCAGCCAGUUCCCCCUAAAACUCAUCAAAACCAGCCUUUUGUUUCUGAAAAUGCUUUUUGUAAGAAAAUGCUCAACCAGCUUCACUCAGGGUACUGUGGCAUUAACUGUAAAUAAUAAUUAUGAGGAGAGGAUUUAAAAAACCUUCACAGGUUCUGAUUAGGAUAAAGACCUAGAUUAAACUUGCCUGAAACACUGGAAAACAGUAGUUAAAUCCUCUGAUGUGCUUUGUUAUGUUCCUGGCCAUGAAAACCCUGGAAAAGAAGGGGAUUAGCAGAAAAUGCAAACCAGAGGGGGAAAUUGCUCUUCAGGAGAAAUUUGAAGUUGUUACACCAAAUUUACCUUGGUGAGAGCAGAGCUUUCUUUGAGAUCUGGGGCACGAGAUGUUUUGCCUCAAUUUUCAUCCACAGCUUUUCAAAAGCCACAAGAAGGUGCAGGUCACCCCCAUGGAAAGCCAGGAGACUCCUGAGGAAAAACAGCCAGCAGGGAUUUUUAAAAUAAUCAAAGAAGAAUAAACCAUGAACAAGUCCCAGAAAAAUGCUCAGGAGGCGGAGAGUUCAUUUUUUAAACUGAUCUCUUCUCCCUGCAGAAUCUUGCUCCCACCUUAUCAAUAUUUUAGGAAAGAAAGAGAAACCUUGUGCAGCUGCAGAAGCAAUUUGGAGGGAUUAAAAAUUUAUCCUGUUUUGAGCAAAGCUUUCAGCAGGUGCUGGAAUCACUUAAUCAAAGUGGAAUUUCACUGUGAUUAUGAUGUUGGAUGGAACAUUUUGCUGAAACAAACCAGGUGUGGAGACACCACCUGGGAGACUUUUCCCAAAUUUCCUUGGUGUGUUUGGCACUGGGACAGCCGGGGGACAAACCCCAGAGGAGCUGCCCAGCCUGGCCAAGGACAGGGCUGUGGGAUUUCCCUGCUCUGGACGGGGCACAGAGACCCCAUCCCUCUGCUCCUCACUCCCACCCACCAGGAAUAAUUGCUUUCAUCAACACCACUCAUCAGAGCAAAGAAUAAUCCGAUUUCCUGGCGUGGUAAGAGCUGCUGUGUGUCAGAGUGUGAUGGGUUACAGCAGGGCAGGGAGAUCGGAGGGGAAAUGUGGGCACAGGUCCUGUUGGGACGUGGAAAAAUGCAAAUUGGAGCUUCCUGGGGGGAAAAAACAGGAACCAUUUGUACUCCCCAUGGUCCUUGGGGCCCUCUGGGAGCUCAGGCUGGGCUUUAGGAUCUGUGUCCCCAGUUCAGGCUGGGCUUUAGGAUCUGUGUCCCUAAUUCAGGCUGGGCUUUAGGAUCUGUGUCCCUAAUUCAGGCUGGGCUUUAGGAUCUGUGUCCCCAGUUCAGGCUGGGCUUUAGGAUCUGUGUCCCCAGUUCAGGAUGGGCUUUAGGAUCUGUGUCCCUAAUUCAGGCUGGGCUUUAGGAUCUGUGUCCCUAAUUCAGGCUGGGCUUUAGGGUCUGUGUCCCCAAUUCAGGCUGGGCUUUAGGAUCUGUGUCCCCAAUUCAGGCUGGGCUUCAGGAUCUGUGUCCCUAAUUCAGGCUGGGCUUUAGGAUCUGUGUCCCCAAUUCAGGCUGGGCUUUAGGAUCUGUGUCCCUAAUUCAGGCUGGGCUUUAGGAUCUGGAGGAGCUUUUGGGGAGAGGUUCUCAGGUGGAGAAUGGGGUUGGGGUGGGGCAGGGGCACAGAACAUUUGGGGUGUCCGGGACAGCCCUGGGAUGUGCCCCAGCACACAGGAGAGUUUCCAUCCUGGGGGGCAAACUCUGUCCCAGCUUCGAUUCUGUCCCAGUGCAAACCAGGAGUUGUUGGGAACAAUUCCCAGCUCAGUUUGGGCUCGAGGGGAAGGAAAUCCCCUCCCUAAACCCCUGUCUGGGAGGACAAAUGUUCUCCUGGCCUUGGGAGUGCUCUGGUGUCCCACACAUCCAAAGUGCAGACGGACCCAGGGGAGAAAUAACCCAGUGAAAGGGGGGAAAAUACAAAAUAUGUCUUUUCCAGUCAGAGGAUUCCAACUUUGGACCUCAGUGCUGGGCAGGUUUCUGCAGCAUUUGUCACAGGUAAUUCUGGCAAUCUAUUCCUGGCUGAAGUGUAAAUAAUUGCUGCCAGAAUGCCAUCGUGGUGCUGAGGAAUAUUUCUCCAACAGAAGAGAAACAGCAUGUUGAUUCUUGAACCACAGAAAGCUAUAAUUGUCAUUUAAAAUCUGGCACGUUGUUUAAAAUACUGAAUUCUUUAUCUUUUGGAAUCUUUAUAAUUAUACAUCUAAACCAUCACUCUGAAUACAUUUGCAAGUGUUGUUCCAUUUUUAAGAUCUUCCCCAAUUUAAAUAUCAAGGCCCGAGAGAAAAAUGAAAUUAAAAAAUCCUACCUGCACAGAAAGCAGAACCCAUUCUGUUUCAAAGCUAUUCAUUCCUGUUAUAGUUACAAAAAAAAAAAAGUUAUAAAAUUAUAACACUUAUUUAAAAUGUCUUUUCUCACACAAUAGCAAAUGUUCCUGCUCCUCCUCUCACCAUAAAACCACCAUAUCAAAUACCUUUUUUCAUGAAAUGAUAGAAGUGCUGGGGGAAAAACCCACAGAAUAUUAAAACUUCUCAGCUUCAGAGAUGCCAAACUGUUAUCAAGGACUGUGAGAGGGUACAAAUUUUCAGAAAUAUUGAAAGGAGAGGGGAAAACCCCAAGCUUUGACAAGAACAGGAUGAUCCCAGCCACUGGCUCUUGCUCACAGCCCAGAAUUUCAGCCGUGAGAUAAUCAGGCUUCCAGGGGCUGGUGUGGAGAAGGCUCUGCCAUGGAUCAGGCUCUGAUCUCUGGCCUGGCUCUCAUUGUGUGCAGUUAUGCACUGGAAGAGUUUUAGAAUAAAAUAAUAAUAAUAACCCCCCCCCAGGAGCAGGGGCUGUGAGACAGGAAAAUCCCAGAUCCCUGGGUUAGCUCUGCCCUCCUGUGAUGUCUGGAUGCAAGCAGAGCUCCUGAAAAUGCAGAGCCUUGGGCUGGAGGGUCUGGUGCUGAUCUGCCCAGGGAACGCUCUGCCAGGAGGGAAGAAAGGAAGCCGACACUGCUCUACCCACAAAGCGCUGUGAAAUGGGAUUACAGGCACGGGAGGGGCUGCCAGAUCCUGAGGGUCCAUGGAACAAUCUCCACGUGAGUUCCACCAUGGCGGCUGGCAGCCAAAGGGCAGUGGAAGACCUGCAGGUGGUCUUGUUCCUGAGCUGAUUGCUGACUCCAUGGGUUAUCAGCCCCAAGGAACGCCCCAAGGAACAUCCCAAGGAGUGUUCCAAGGAAUGCCCCAAGGAACACCCCAAGGAACAUCUCAAGGACUAUCCCAAGGAAUCUCCCAAGGACUACCCCAAGGAAUAUGCCAAGGAGUAUCCCAAGAAGUAUCCCAAGGAACACCCCAAGGAAUCCCCAAGAAACAUCCCAAGAAAUACCCCAAGGAGUAUCCUAAGCAGUAUCCCAAGGAACACCCCAAGGAAUCUCCCAAGGAAUACCCCAAGGAAUCCCCAAAGAACAUCCCAAGGAAUCUCCCAAGGAACACUCCAAGGAAUAUCCUAAUAAAUACGCCAAGGAACAUCCCAAGGAACACUGCAAGGAAUCCCCAAGGAACAUCCCAAGGGAUAUCCCAAGGAAUCCCCAAGGAACACUGCAAGGAAUCCCCAAGGAACAUCCCAAGGGAUAUCCCAAGGGAUAUCCCAAGGAAUCUCCCAAGGAACACCCCAAGUGCUGUUUGUGUGCUCCUGGUGCCACCCGUGUGUUUUUGGUCAGCUGGAGGAAGAGAAGCCAAAACUCCACCACACUUUGCUUAGAGAGAAAUUCUGUCCAAGUGCUGUGAGCAGUUUGUGGGAAGGAUCGGAGCUGCAGCAGUCCUGCAGUGACAUGCUUGAUUGCUGGGGAGAGGAGAUGUAAUGAUUCUGGACAGCAACUGUCAGGGUUAAGAAAGUUAUUUGUUCCAUUGGUUUAUGGCACAGACUAGUAGUAUUUUAUUGUCAAACAGAAUUAGUUUUAUAUCAAGAAGAGUGAUUACUUGGGUUCACUGUGUUUGAGAUUAAACUUGAUGAUUUCAUGUCCAUUAUUGAUUUAGGCUUUACAUUCAGAGGAGUAGCAGUUUAUAUUUUACUUAAGGGGAUUUGAUCACAGUAGAUGGAAUCUUCAAUGGUUUCUGCAAAUAAAUUAGUAAAGUUGCUGUGCCUUUUACAGUAACUGCAGAAGGAAAGUGAAAGGGGGUUUAGCUCAACUAAAAAAGUGCAAAAAGAUGGCAAAAAUGCUGCUGAGCUUUUGGAGGGUGUAGGGACACCUGAGAACGGGGUGCAGAAAAGCAGGAGCCACCCAGGGGGUGCUGAGCCCCUGGCACUGGGCAGCUCCAGGUGAGGCAGCACUGCCAAAGCCCCAGUGCACUCCAUCUCCUCUAAUUCAUCCUGAAAUUACACCCAGGGAGAGAGGGACAUCCAGGGGACAUUCCAGCCUCAGAGGAGGGCCAGAUGUGGGAGGCAAAUGUGCAAAAUAAUGCCUGUGCCUAAAAAUCCCUCCUGAAACCCCCUAA